CCAGCCUGGCUGAGGGGGCGGGCUGGCCGGUAGCACGCCCAGCUCGGCUUCCUUGAGCCCCUGCUGGAGGCUGAGUGAAGCCCCUCCUACUUUGGCAGCCCCUCUCCAAUACGGAGCCCUGCAUAAAACUGCGUUUUUUUCUGUGUUUCUGUUCUCUUUUCUCUACCGACCAUGGAGCACAGAAGUCAUGGGUGGGGGGCGACUUGGCAUUCGUAGCAGCGUCCAGAUCCUAGGGCUUUAAUAUUUAAUCGAGGAACCCUUGAAGGGUGGAGGUGCUUGGGGAGCCUGCCCCUAGUUCUCCUGCUUAGGCCCCAUCCUCCGGGUCCGAAUCCAGGGCUGGCGCGUGGCCACUGCGACCUCCGGGAAGCGGGGGCUUUUGGCGUCACACCCGGCACCGCAGUGCAUCCGUUCUGUGAGCCUGGCCGGCGUGCCCGGGGUGAAGAGGGAAAGCCGACUACGUGUACGAGCCCAGGCGGUACGCGACCUCUGUGGCCUGCCUCCCCGCGUCCCGGGAAGAACGGCCCCCUUUCCCCACCCCCUCGCGGUUCCCGGCAGCCCUGGCCGCCCCGCCCCCGCCGCAGCUGCUGCUUCCAUCCCCACCCGGCCCUUUCUGCCUUGUCAUCUCCUGCCCCGCCGAGGCUCGACCCGUGAGUGGGGCCGCCGGGAGCGCACGGAGCGGGAGCCCCCCCCGACCCCCGGCUGCGGUAGGGAAGAGAAACUGAGUUUGGGCAAAAUCCGCACCCCACCAAAACCAGCCGCGCCCGAAGGAGGGAGAGGACCCGGACCAGCUGGGGUCUCUGCACCCCAGACAGGACAGAGGACAGGACUCGGGAGUGGGUUCUGUCCUCCCUCCCUUCCUGCACUCGAUUUGGGGGACAGGCUCUGGAAACCUCAAGAGAAGAGGGCAGAGGAUCCACAGUACACAGUGCAGUGAUGUCAGCCUAGUGGUGAGGGUAUAUGUUGUUCACUGGGGUACAGAGGAGAAGGAACCAGUCUGCUUGUGGGACACUCAGGCAUUGGGGUGGAUGAGGGGACAUUUGAAUCUUGGAGGAUGGAUCCACAGCAUGGAGGGAGGAAAGGGCAUUCCAGGCCUAGGCAACAGCAUCUGCAAAGUUUGGGAAGUGCCAGUACUGAGUGGUGGAGGGAAGUGGGGGAAAGCCUGGCUGUCCAGGGGGUGGGAAGUGAACAGAUAGUCUGGAUUCUCUCUGAUAAGCUGUGGGGGUGUGGGGGUGUGGGGGACAGGUAGUUACGGCUGACAUUUUGCUUGGCGAGACCUUGUAGUUCAGGCUGGAGCAAGUCAGAUUCCACUUCUGCCAGUUGAUCUCGCUGAGCCUGUCCCCUUAUCUGUAAAAUGGGGACAAAAGCCCUACCCCAGAGAGUUGUCAAAGUCGCUAUUCUGUGGGAGUGAUGGGAUAGGAGUGAGCGGUACUGAGAGAGACUUAUAGGAGAUGAGAUGACCAUAGAGGGGUUGAGGGAGAUGCUGAUAACUCACUGAGAAGUGGAGGAGUAGCAUUUGUCCCUGAUGGGACAUGAAGGGAGAGAGAGGGGUAAAGGGUAGUCCUGGUCUCUGCUCAUGGCCUGGGGGAAGGGCUGACACUUCAGUAUGGCUAGGAGGGGUGAAAUGACCAGGGAGGCAUAGCAUGACACCAGGUAGUGAGACCUGGGAAGCAGGAUGGGGGCUAGGACCAAAUCCUAGACCUGGAACCAGGUAAGGAAGUAAAGGAGGGACCCCAAAGGGAGGACGAGACCCAGGAGGGUGUUUUGUGGACAAAGCCAAGGCCAGGGGAGAUGGGCUGAGAGAGGGAGUGGUCCAGGGCCUGACCUAAUUGCCCUUAAUGCCAGGGGCCUUGCUGCGUGGGUCAGGCCACCCAAGAGGAGAUGGGCCAUUGUCCUUGGUUGUCAAUAAAUGAACAAAGCAGAUUAAUUUCUGCCUAACACCUGCUGUUUGGGAGAGACAGCCUCUCAAAAUGGGAGGAUCUAUGGAGGAAAACAGUGAAAAUUCAAUAUUUGCUGGUAGCUUUUAUGAGUUGGGCCCUGGGUACUUAAAGAUGAUGGCUGUAAAUCAUUCCCAGGGCAGCAGGGAGACAGUUUGGCCUCAGGUGAUGUCUGGAGAUCUCGGUCAGAGCUAAGACUCAAGAGAAUUCAGGUAUCCCUGCUCAGGUAUUAGAACCAGGAGAGACCAUGAGACCACUUUGGGGUUACAACAUGGUGGUGGCAUUGGUGAGGUGGUGCAGGGGCAGGGCCUGUCCUGGAAGGAUGGACCUCAGGAUAAGGGGUCUGGACUUCUUCCAGCUGGUGAGAGGAGCAGCGGAGGCUCUUAGCACUUCGGGAUCUGGGAGAGGGGGGAUUCGGGGCUCUGCAGGGUCUAGGAUGGAAGUGAAAGGCUAGACUAAGUAAGUGGUGACGUUGACAGAAAUAUUGGAAAGACUGGGAAGAACUUGACUGCAAGCUGGGUGUGGGGUAUCAGGAUCAGUUGUAGGUCUUUCUGCCUGUUAAGUUGGGGAAGCAGGUUGGGAAAGAGAAGUUAGUUUGGAUAAACUGGGUCUGAAUUGAUCGCAGGAUCUGCAGGUGGCAGGGGCUCAGGAGGGAGGACAUGCUUGGGGAGAGCUGUCAGAGUAGGUAAGGGUCCUUGGAAAGCCACAG
Molecule: long non-coding RNA, 2643 nt
Organism: Balaenoptera musculus (blue whale)
Lineage: Eukaryota; Metazoa; Chordata; Mammalia; Artiodactyla; Balaenopteridae
Source: Ensembl